GGAAUAUUGGACAAUGGGCGAAAGCCUGAUCCAGCAAUGCCGCGUGAGUGAUGAAGGCCUUAGGGUUGUAAAGCUCUUUUACCAGGGAUGAUAAUGACAGUACCUGGAGAAUAAGCUCCGGCUAACUCCGUGCCAGCAGCCGCGGUAAUACGGAGGGAGCUAGCGUUGUUCGGAAUUACUGGGCGUAAAGCGUACGUAGGCGGUUAUUCAAGUCAGAGGUGAAAGCCUGGAGCUCAACUCCAGAACUGCCUUUGAAACUAGAUAGCUAGAAUCUUGGAGAGGUGAGUGGAAUUCCGAGUGUAGAGGUGAAAUUCGUAGAUAUCAGGAGGAACACCAAUGGCGAAGGCAGGUCUCUGGGCCAAUACUGACACUGAGGAGCGAAAGUCUGGGGAGCGAACAGGAUUAGAUACCCUGGUAGUCCAGACCGUAAACGGUGGGCACUAGUUGUGGGAACCUUCCACGGUUUCUGCGACGCAGCUAACGCAUUAAGUGCCCCGCCUGGGGAGUACGAUCGCAAGAUUAAAACUCAAAGGAAUUGACGG
This 542-nucleotide ribosomal RNA is filed under the name uncultured bacterium. Its description in RNAcentral is "bacterial SSU rRNA". It matches the Rfam family "Bacterial small subunit ribosomal RNA", at positions 358 to 916 of the family's 1533-position model. The record is from RNAcentral.